GCAGGCUUCCUGCAGGGAGCCCGAUGUGGGACUCCAUCCGGGGUCUCCAGGAUCACACCCCAGGCUGCAGGCGGCGCCAAAUUGCUGCACCAUCGGGGCUACCCCUAAAUAAAUAAAAUCUUAAAAAAAAAAAAAGUGCCUAGGUUUAAGUCCUAACUGUGCCACUUGGGAGCCAGUUUGUUAGUGUCCUUAUCUGUAAAAUGGGGUAAUUGGUUCCUGCGUCCCUGUGAGCCAGCUCCGUGCAGAGGCCCUGGCCAUUCCUCUCUGCUGAGGAUGUUUACACGAUGAUGCAGAUGUGUACUACCUGCUUGUGGAGAAACUGGCAAGUGGUUUUACCUUUAGACUUUGUGACUCCUGGCAAGUCAAUUGAGAGGGUUCAUCCAUCCCCCCAAAGGUUUACCUGGGAGCCUAUUGUAUGGAAAGUACCCCUGGGCUCUGUGUUAGAGAUGCAGUGGUGAGCAGGACCAACAAGGCCCCUGUCUGGCAGGGGUUCUAUUUUGGGGAUGUGAGGAAACAGAGGGUGGAGAAGUUUGAUAAUCUCAGGUGGCAUAGUGCUAGGGAGGAAAUAAAACCUGGUGGCGGCAUUGUGUGUGAAUGGGGAAUAUGUUAGGAGGCUGGGGAAGUCAUGUGGCAAAGUGAAGUUUAAUCUGAGGCCUGAAGGACAUUCCGGCCAGAGGGAGCAGCCGGUGAAAAGAACACUAGAAGGACUGAACAGAGACCAGAGUGGCUCGAGCAUAAGAGCCGAGGGGUGAUGGAAGCGCGAAGGUGGAGGGCCUUGUAGCCUGUAGUGAAGAUCUGUAAGGCCCAGAAAGACGGAAGGAGAACCACUGAAGAGGGAACGAUGGUGCCUGGUGGUAUUGGAUAGAAGAAGCUCUGAGAACAUUCCAGCAAAGUUCCCCAAAGCUUGAAGGAACCAUGAGCCCCCACCCACAGACUCUACACUCCUGGGUCCUGGGAGGGUCUCAGGUCCUGCCUGUGCUCAGAGCCUCGGGGACA
Molecule: long non-coding RNA, 996 nt
Organism: Nyctereutes procyonoides (raccoon dog)
Lineage: Eukaryota; Metazoa; Chordata; Mammalia; Carnivora; Canidae
Exons: 3
Source: RefSeq, a predicted model, not a curated record